Molecule: transfer RNA, 71 nt
Filed under: Caudoviricetes sp.
Lineage: Duplodnaviria; Heunggongvirae; Uroviricota; Caudoviricetes
Description: tRNA-Phe
Rfam family: tRNA
About the family: Transfer RNA (tRNA) molecules are approximately 80 nucleotides in length. Their secondary structure includes four short double-helical elements and three loops (D, anti-codon, and T loops). Further hydrogen bonds mediate the characteristic L-shaped molecular structure. tRNAs have two regions of fundamental functional importance: the anti-codon, which is responsible for specific mRNA codon recognition, and the 3' end, to which the tRNAs corresponding amino acid is attached (by aminoacyl-tRNA synthetases). tRNAs cope with the degeneracy of the genetic code in two manners: having more than one tRNA (with a specific anti-codon) for a particular amino acid; and 'wobble' base-pairing, i.e. permitting non-standard base-pairing at the 3rd anti-codon position.
Source: RNAcentral
GGUAGCUCAGUUGGUAGAGCACAUGCCUGAAGAGUACGGUGUCGGUGGUGCAAACCCAUCUUAGUCCACCA